GCAGCAUUGGCACAAUCGGAUAGAGCAGCGGAGUUCUAAUCCGCUGGUUGCUGGUUCGAGUCCAGCAUGCUGCACCA
Molecule: transfer RNA, 77 nt
Filed under: Candidatus Erwinia dacicola
Lineage: Bacteria; Pseudomonadati; Pseudomonadota; Gammaproteobacteria; Enterobacterales; Erwiniaceae
Description: tRNA-Arg
Rfam family: tRNA
About the family: Transfer RNA (tRNA) molecules are approximately 80 nucleotides in length.
Source: RNAcentral